This is a non-coding RNA of Stegodyphus mimosarum, 73 nucleotides long. The record is from Rfam. Lineage: Eukaryota; Metazoa; Arthropoda; Arachnida; Araneae; Eresidae.
GCCUCUGUGGUGUAGUGGUCAGCACGCUGGACGCGUAACCGAGCGAUCCGUGGUUUGAUUCCCGGCGAAGGCG